GUCGCAGCUAACGCAUUAAGCGCCCCGCCUGGGGAGUACGGUCGCAAGACUAUUACUCAAAGGAAUUGACGGGGGCCCGCACAAGCAGCGGAGCAUGCGGCUUAAUUCGAUGCAACGCGAAGAACCUUACCUAGACUUGACAUAUACGGAAAACAUGCAGAGAUGUAUGGUCCUAACGGGCCGUUUACAGGUGGUGCAUGGUUGUCGUCAGCUCGUGUCGUGAGAUGUUGGGUUAAGUCCCGCAACGAGCGCAACCCUCGUUCUAUGUUGCCAGCACGUAAUGGUGGGGACUCAUAGGAGACUGCCGGGGUCAACUCGGAGGAAGGUGGGGAUGACGUCAAAUCAUCAUGCCCCUUAUGUCUAGGGCUGCACGCAUGCUACAAUGGCUGGUACAAAGGGCUGCGAUACCGCAAGGUGGAGCGAAUCCCAAAAAGCCAGUCUCAGAUCGGAUUGGGGUCUGCAACUCGACCCCAUGAAGUUGGAGUUGCUAGUAAUCGCAGAUCAGCAACGCUGCGGUGAAUACGUUCCCGGGCCUUGUACACACCGCCCGUCACGUCACGAAAGUCGGUAACACCCGAAGCCGGUGGCCUAACCGUAAGGAAGGAGCCGUCGAAG
RNAcentral lists this ribosomal RNA (615 nucleotides) under uncultured Actinomycetes bacterium. RNAcentral's name for it is "bacterial SSU rRNA". It matches the Rfam family "Bacterial small subunit ribosomal RNA", at positions 845 to 1461 of the family's 1533-position model. The record is from RNAcentral. Lineage: Bacteria; Bacillati; Actinomycetota; Actinomycetes.